GAGUAAACUGAUCAUUUAUAUUGCUAAAAAUUGAUGUGCCUGAUGAAAUAAUGAAACAGUAACACGUGGUAUGCCACAUAUCCCUCAUGUUUACGUAUAUGGACCAUUUUUUAACAGUAGAAAUUGAUAAUUUUUUAACCG
RNAcentral lists this microRNA precursor (141 nucleotides) under Gossypium arboreum. Its description in RNAcentral is "MIR7502 microRNA precursor family". It matches the Rfam family "MIR7502 microRNA precursor family". The record is from Rfam by way of RNAcentral. Lineage: Eukaryota; Viridiplantae; Streptophyta; Magnoliopsida; Malvales; Malvaceae.